GAUGAACGCUGGCGGCGUGCCUAAUACAUGCAAGUCGAGCGAACAGAUGAUGAGCUUGCUCCUCUGACGUUAGCGGCGGACGGGUGAGUAACACGUGGAUAACCUACCUAUAAGACUGGGAUAACUUCGGGAAACCGGAGCUAAUACCGGAUAAUAUAUUGAACCGCAUGGUUCAAUAGUGAAAGACGGUUUUGCUGUCACUUAUAGAUGGAUCCGCGCCGCAUUAGCUAGUUGGUAAGGUAACGGCUUACCAAGGCAACGAUGCGUAGCCGACCUGAGAGGGUGAUCGGCCACACUGGAACUGAGACACGGUCCAGACUCCUACGGGAGGCAGCAGUAGGGAAUAUUCGGCAAUGGGCGAAAGCCUGACGGAGCAACGCCGCGUGAGUGAUGAAGGUCUUCGGAUCGUAAAACUCUGUUAUUAGGGAAGAACAAAUGUGUAAGUAACUAUGCACGUCUUGACGGUACCUAAUCAGAAAGCCACGGCUAACUACGUG
Molecule: ribosomal RNA, 497 nt
Filed under: uncultured bacterium
Lineage: Bacteria
Description: partial 16S ribosomal RNA
Rfam family: Bacterial small subunit ribosomal RNA
Source: RNAcentral